GCCGGAUUAGCUAGUUGGUGGGGUAAUGGCCUACCAAGGCAACGAUCCGUAGCUGGUCUGAGAGGACGACCAGCCACACUGGGACUGAGACACGGCCCAGACUCCUACGGGAGGCAGCAGUGGGGAAUUUUGGACAAUGGGGGCAACCCUGAUCCAGCCAUGCCGCGUGUGUGAAGAAGGCCUUCGGGUUGUAAAGCACUUUCGGACGGAACGAAAUCGCGCGGGCGAAUAUCCCGCGUGGAUGACGGUACCGUAAGAAGAAGCACCGGCUAACUACGUGCCAGCAGCCGCGGUAAUACGUAGGGUGCGAGCGUUAAUCGGAAUUACUGGGCGUAAAGUGUGCGCAGGCGGCGUCGCAAGUCGAGUGUGAAAGCCCCGAGCUUAACUUGGGAAUUGCGCUCGAAACUACGGUGCUGGAGUAUGGCAGAGGAAGGUGGAAUUCCGCGUGUAGCGGUGAAAUGCGUAGAGAUGUGGAGGAACACCGAUGGCGAAGGCAGCCUUCUGG
Molecule: ribosomal RNA, 505 nt
Filed under: uncultured beta proteobacterium
Lineage: Bacteria; Pseudomonadati; Pseudomonadota; Betaproteobacteria
Description: bacterial SSU rRNA
Rfam family: Bacterial small subunit ribosomal RNA
Source: RNAcentral